CCCGGCCUCCAGGUUUCUGGCCCUGCCAGCCCAGACAACACCAGGGCCCCUCCGUAGGCUCGGCUCCUCGUCCUCCCCUUCCCUCCCCUCUCUCCCCCGCGGCCGCCGCCGGGAAUGACCUUCUAUCUGCCGGCCCUCUGAAACGCCAGCCGAACCACCGCCACCGCAGGACGAUGGCCAGGUCCAACAAGUCCAGCAGGAAGAGCUGCAAGCGCCAGAAGCCACCCAGUCGCCGAAACAUCAAGCAGGGCAAGCCGUGCCGGAAGAUGAGGAAGAGGAAGGGGUACGUCCGGGUCUGCACCACCUACUACUACCGGAAGAGAUGAGCUUCCUCUGGGUCAGCCUACACCUUCCCACCCGGGCAGUGUCCCCAGGGUGCGGAGCGGGGGGAGGUCUGCCUUGCCCCCCACCGAACACCGACCUCCCCCCGUCGCCCGCCAUCCUCCACCGUGGCCACCAGCUUCUGGGGAACCAGUUCCAUCCUACCAAGAUUCGAGCAAGAUCCACCGGCCGCAGAUAGAGACGGGAUAAGAUCUUGGAGCCUCCCCCUACCCUUAGACAAAUGCCAGACUUCUCAAUAAAUCCCUAAAAGGCA
Molecule: long non-coding RNA, 595 nt
Organism: Ornithorhynchus anatinus (platypus)
Lineage: Eukaryota; Metazoa; Chordata; Mammalia; Monotremata; Ornithorhynchidae
Exons: 2
Source: RefSeq, a predicted model, not a curated record